This 458-nucleotide ribosomal RNA is filed under the name uncultured bacterium. RNAcentral's name for it is "partial 16S ribosomal RNA". It matches the Rfam family "Bacterial small subunit ribosomal RNA", at positions 338 to 795 of the family's 1533-position model. The record is from RNAcentral.
CCUACGGGAGGCAGCAGUGGGGAAUAUUGCACAAUGGGGGAAACCCUGAUGCAGCGACGCCGCGUGAGUGAAGAAGUAAUUCGUUACGUAAAGCCCUAUCAGCAGGGAAGAAACACUGACCUUACGGUCAGCAGCCGGUACUUGCGUAAGAAGCCCCGGCUAACUACGUGCCAGCAGCCGCGGUCAUACGUAGGGGGGAAGCGUUAUCCGGCUUUACUGGUGGUAAAGGGAGCGGAGACGGUGAGCCAAGGCGGGAGUGAAAUUCCGGAGCGUAACAGCGGAACUGCUUUGGAAACUGGCGAACUAGAGUGCGGGAGAGGUAAGCGGAAUUCCUAGUGUAGCGGUGAAAUGCGUAGAUAUUAGGAGGAACACCGGUGGCGAAGGCGGCUUACUGGACCGUAACUGACGUUGAGGCUCGAAAGCGUGGGGAGCAAACAGGAUUAGAUACCCUGGUAGUC